CAACGGAUCUCUUGGUUCUGGCAUCGAUGAAGAACGCAGCGAAAUGCGAUAAGUAAUGUGAAUUGCAGAAUUCAGUGAAUCAUCGAAUCUUUGAACGCACAUUGCGCCCCUUGGUAUUCCGAGGGGCAUGCCUGUUCGAGCGUCAUUGCAACCUUCAA
RNAcentral lists this ribosomal RNA (158 nucleotides) under Rehmanniella wirthii. RNAcentral describes it as "5.8S ribosomal RNA". It matches the Rfam family "5.8S ribosomal RNA". Rfam says of the family: 5.8S ribosomal RNA (5.8S rRNA) is a component of the large subunit of the eukaryotic ribosome. It is transcribed by RNA polymerase I as part of the 45S precursor that also contains 18S and 28S rRNA. The record is from RNAcentral. Lineage: Eukaryota; Fungi; Ascomycota; Lecanoromycetes; Teloschistales; Teloschistaceae.